RNAcentral lists this ribosomal RNA (254 nucleotides) under uncultured bacterium. RNAcentral's name for it is "partial 16S ribosomal RNA". It matches the Rfam family "Bacterial small subunit ribosomal RNA", at positions 524 to 776 of the family's 1533-position model. The record is from RNAcentral.
UACGAAGGGGGCUAGCGUUGUUCGGAAUUACUGGGCGUAAAGCGCGCGUAGGCGGUGAUCUUUGUCAGAGGUGAAAUCCCCGAGGCUCAACUUCGGAAUUGCCUUUGAAACGGGAUCGCUUGAGUCCGAGAGAGGAUGGCGGAAUUCCUAGUGUAGAGGUGAAAUUCGUAGAUAUUAGGAAGAACACCGGUGGCGAAGGCGGCCAUCUGGCUCGGUACUGACGCUCAGGCGCGAAAGCGUGGGGAGCAAACAGG